GUCCACGCCGUAAACGAUGGAUACUAGCUGUUCGGAGCAAUCUGAGUGGCUAAGCGAAAGUGAUAAGUAUCCCACCUGGGGAGUACGUUCGCAAGAAUGAAACUCAAAGGAAUUGACGGGGGCCCGCACAAGCGGUGGAGCAUGUGGUUUAAUUCGAUGAUACGCGAGGAACCUUACCAAGGCUUAAAUGUAGAUUGACAGGACUGGAAACAGUUUUUUCUUCGGACAAUUUACAAGGUGCUGCAUGGUU
Molecule: ribosomal RNA, 250 nt
Filed under: uncultured bacterium
Lineage: Bacteria
Description: partial 16S ribosomal RNA
Rfam family: Bacterial small subunit ribosomal RNA
Source: RNAcentral